RNAcentral lists this ribosomal RNA (323 nucleotides) under Klebsiella aerogenes. RNAcentral describes it as "bacterial SSU rRNA". It matches the Rfam family "Bacterial small subunit ribosomal RNA", at positions 105 to 431 of the family's 1533-position model. The record is from RNAcentral. Lineage: Bacteria; Pseudomonadati; Pseudomonadota; Gammaproteobacteria; Enterobacterales; Enterobacteriaceae.
GGUGAGUAAUGUCUGGGAAACUGCCUGAUGGAGGGGGAUAACUACUGGAAACGGUAGCUAAUACCGCAUAACGUCGCAAGACCAAAGUGGGGGACCUUCGGGCCUCAUGCCAUCAGAUGUGCCCAGAUGGGAUUAGCUAGUAGGUGGGGUAAUGGCUCACCUAGGCGACGAUCCCUAGCUGGUCUGAGAGGAUGACCAGCCACACUGGAACUGAGACACGGUCCAGACUCCUACGGGAGGCAGCAGUGGGGAAUAUUGCACAAUGGGCGCAAGCCUGAUGCAGCCAUGCCGCGUGUAUGAAGAAGGCCUUCGGGUUGUAAAGU